RNAcentral lists this ribosomal RNA (350 nucleotides) under uncultured bacterium. RNAcentral describes it as "bacterial SSU rRNA". It matches the Rfam family "Bacterial small subunit ribosomal RNA", at positions 72 to 422 of the family's 1533-position model. The record is from RNAcentral.
AAGCCAGCUUGCUGGUGGAUUAGUGGCGAACGGGUGAGUAACACGUGAGUAACCUGCCCUUAACUCUGGGAUAAGCCUGGGAAACUGGGUCUAAUACCGGAUAUGACUCCUCAUCGCAUGGUGGGGGGUGGAAAGCUUUAUUGUGGUUUUGGAUGGACUCGCGGCCUAUCAGCUUGUUGGUGAGGUAAUGGCUCACCAAGGCGACGACGGGUAGCCGGCCUGAGAGGGUGACCGGCCACACUGGGACUGAGACACGGCCCAGACUCCUACGGGAGGCAGCAGUGGGGAAUAUUGCACAAUGGGCGCAAGCCUGAUGCAGCGACGCCGCGUGAGGGAUGACGGCCUUCGGG